Molecule: ribosomal RNA, 500 nt
Filed under: uncultured bacterium
Lineage: Bacteria
Description: partial 16S ribosomal RNA
Rfam family: Bacterial small subunit ribosomal RNA
Source: RNAcentral
AUUGAACGCUGGCGGAAUGCUUUACACAUGCAAGUCGAACAGCAGCACGGACUUCGGUCUGGUGGCGAGUGGCGAACGGGUGAGUAAUGUAUCGGAACGUGCCCAGUCGUGGGGGAUAACGUAGUGAAAAUUACGCUAAUACCGCAUACGAUCUAUGGAUGAAAGCGGGGGAUCGCAAGACCUCGCGCGAUUGGAGCGGCCGAUAUCAGAUUAGGUAGUUGGUGGGGUAAAGGCCCACCAAGCCAACGAUCUGUAGCUGGUCUGAGAGGACGACCAGCCACACUGGAACUGAGACACGGUCCAGACUCCUACGGGAGGCAGCAGUGGGGAAUUUUGGACAAUGGGCGCAAGCCUGAUCCAGCCAUUCCGCGUGCAGGAUGAAGGCCCUCGGGUUGUAAACUGCUUUUGUACAGAACGAAAAGGUUUCUACUAAUACUAGGAGCUCAUGACGGUACUGUAAGAAUAAGCACCGGCUAACAACGUGCCAGCAGCCGCCGUAA